This 547-nucleotide ribosomal RNA is filed under the name uncultured bacterium. RNAcentral describes it as "bacterial SSU rRNA". It matches the Rfam family "Bacterial small subunit ribosomal RNA", at positions 355 to 896 of the family's 1533-position model. The record is from RNAcentral.
UGGGGAAUAUUGCGCAAUGGGGGGAACCCUGGCGCAGCCAUGCCGCGUGAAUGAAGAAGGCCUUAGGGUUGUAAAGUUCUUUCGGUAUUGAGGAAGGUUGAUGUGUUAAUAGCACAUCAAAUUGACGUUAAAUACAGAAGAAGCACCGGCUAACUCCGUGCCAGCAGCCGCGGUAAUACGGAGGGUGCGAGCGUUAAUCGGAAUAACUGGGCGUAAAGGGCACGCAGGCGGUUAUUUAAGUGAGGUGUGAAAGCCCUGGGCUUAACCUAGGAAUUGCAUUUCAGACUGGGUAACUAGAGUACUUUAGGGAGGGGUAGAAUUCCACGUGUAGCGGUGAAAUGCGUAGAGAUGUGGAGGAAUACCGAAGGCGAAGGCAGCCCCUUGGGAAUGUACUGACGCUCAUGUGCGAAAGCGUGGGGAGCAAACAGGAUUAGAUACCCUGGUAGUCCACGCUGUAAACGCUGUCGAUUUGGGGGUUGGGGUUUAACUCUGGCGCCCGUAGCUAACGUGAUAAAUCGACCGCCUGGGGAGUACGGCCGCAAGGUUA